UUUUACACUCUGCAGAGGUUGCGCAUCUUUACCCACAAGUCAUGUUACCCAUCUGCCAAGAUAUGGCCAAUCCCUUACACCUCUACCGAGGAGGCGAGGCAGGGUAACACUACGAGGCCUUUACAAAGUUCCACUAGCUUCAGAAAUCCCGCUACAGUUUAUAGGAAGCUCCAGUGCAGGGUUCUUGCCUGACCGCCAUCGUAGCAAAAUCAACCCAAGGACCUCCCUACACUGACCACUCCCCUACUGCCCUUGCCCCUUUCGGGUAAGGAAGACAUCCACUAGCUUUCCUAGUUAAUCAGCCAAGGGCGUCCCAUUAUACCCUUGUGGUAGCACUGUUUUCCUGGGUGGUCGCUCCAUGUUCCUAUUAACAUAAUGAUCUUAACAUGCAUAGUAAUAAUAAACAGAUAAUAAAGAUGUAGUUAUGAAUAAAGUAUCUUCAUACCCAAAUCCACAUAAAGCAAUAGCAGGUACUACCCAAAGAAAUAUUUCAGUGGUAAACAAGGUAUAAAGAUAGCCAAAACUAGGGUAACCUAUUAGGUCCCAUCAAAAUUAACCUAUGCAGAUCAUUAUAAUUAACAAGAACAUGGCUGGGAAAAGUAAGUGAUCAAGGGCACAACUUGCCUGACACUUGAGAUCCAGUUACCAGGGUGAACUUCAGGUGACUUGAAACCUCGCGCUAGUCGUAGCAAUACAAACAAAAUGGUAUAGAUAAAAUUAACAUCACACCAAACAUAAGAAUAUACUACAUAAUAAUGAUCUACGCGCUUGUACGAGACUAACGCGACUUGAACGGAUCAAAUCGGAGUUAAAACGAAGGAGAUACGAAUUUCCUAAGGUUUUAUGUAUUUGAUACAAGGUUAAUUAAGAAAUAAAUUUUAAUACCAUUUUCAUGUUAAAAUAGAGACACAGGGUGAUAAACAACAUUAUUACAAAAUUAUAGAAACUGAAAUGGAUUAAUUUGGACUACAUAUGAAUUUUGUAUGAAUUAAACCAAUUCUAGCAUUUAUUUCUACAUUAAAAAUCCAAUUCUAUAUUUGUUUUCUGAUUUUUCUGGCUCUCUGAACUGGGCGCACUAAUACAGAGAAGUUCAGGGGUCCCGGUGUAAAUUUUUCCCAGACACAGCUUAACCCACUGAUGGAUGGCGAGCUGAAUAUGAAGCACCCCGAGGACUCUUAUGCAAGAUGCGCUGGCUGAAGGGGUACGGUGCAGAUCUAGCCGUCCGAUUAGAAAUGGAGGGCUCAGAUUAGAUCUAGGUUUCGCAUGAACCGGUAUGAAGCAGCUACCACCAGAUCAGGAAUCAACGGCCGCAAAUCGACCACGCUACCAGAUACUGCCUGCCAUCAGAUCGAUAACAUACAGCACUGAUUUAAUCUCGCGAAUGGAUACGCUCUCUUCUAAUCGCACCCGUCCGAAUUGGAUCGGACGGUAACCAUACCUUCUCCUUUCACUAGCCAGCCCGAGGCGGCGCCAGGAGCUCUCCACGGCGGAGACUCACCGGCGCACCGCCAAAUUCGCCUGUUCUGGCGACAUCGUUCUCACCGUGGUGCGAAAAAAAACGAAAUUGAAGCAAGUUCAAUUACAAAGGGGGUGCCUCACCGGAGGGUUAAGCGAUGGCCGAGCGGGUUCACGACGGAGGGUAACUUGGCGUAGUUUCACACCUCCGGCGAACAAUCUCCACUACUCCCACGGCGCCCCGCGUGCGCGAGUCCCUUCACCAGCACCCAUCUCGGCCACCCUCCCAGUCACCAAGGUCCCGCUCGAUGUGGCCGGCCACGCCUUCGCGGCGGCGCUUUCCCCCUACUCUCUGUUUAGCGGUGGCGAGUCCAUGGACACGGAGCUCUCGGGGACUGGUUCAAAGGAAGGUAGGGGCACGGUCACAAGCGAUUAGAGGCUUAUAGCGGAGGAAGGACGGGCUUGCGGGGUUGGCCGCAACGGCCACAACGAGCUCCAAGGCGGCAACUGCGGCAUGCAACCGGAUGCCCGAGGAUACGGUUGACCCCCAACAACCGCAACGACGGGACCGCAGGGAAAUCGUGGCUCAUGCGGACGCCAAAGUGCGGCACCGAGUCCCUUACCGAGACAGCGGGAGAAGAAGAGGGAGAUGAUAGACUCGACCGGUGGGUCCCAUCCCGAAGCCUUCCUGCGCGCGGCGAGUGGCACCAGGUAGCGACU
Molecule: long non-coding RNA, 2175 nt
Filed under: Zea mays
Lineage: Eukaryota; Viridiplantae; Streptophyta; Magnoliopsida; Poales; Poaceae
Description: long non-coding RNA (ZMAY_LNC005212)
Source: RNAcentral